UAUAAUCAUUACAAACCUACGUUCUGGUUGACGUUAUAUGCGCGUCUGAUAUGCAGCACAUGUCGAGUUAUGAGCAUAGCAUAUAACUUACACUGGCUUCUUAAAAUUGUACAUCCUAUAUGGAUGAUUGUCGUGUAGGUAGUAUCGUGUUUGCAUUUCAGGCAAUGUUGCGAAAAAGAACAGUCACAUCAACGCUCAGCUCAUGUUUUAAAUUGGAUUUCUUGAUUAGAUCCAUCAAUCUGGAGUCAACAAACUACUGAAAGGAACGCAGUGAAGCAUCAAUCCGCGAAUAUAUCUUGGCAACUAUUUCAUGUUUUUUAUCUUGGCAAGUUAUCUAAAAAUAACUAACUAAACUAACCCUUAAUUAUUGAAAAAUCUUUCCUUUUAUAGAACAUCAAUUCGACAACAAAUUAUUAUAACAGACAGGACGCCAAAAGCCAUUGGAAAAAUGUCCAUCCUGCAAAAUUCCAAGCUUCCAUAAUAAUUUGAAGAUUCAAUUCAAUCAAAAAGAGGGCCUUUACUAAUUUUGUUUAUAUAUUUAUAAUGGAAUAAGUAAAUAAAAGUUUGGUAAACUUUUAACUUUUAAA
Long non-coding RNA from Aedes aegypti (yellow fever mosquito), 587 nucleotides. RefSeq lists it as uncharacterized. Lineage: Eukaryota; Metazoa; Arthropoda; Insecta; Diptera; Culicidae. The transcript is spliced from 2 exons. The record is from RefSeq and is a predicted model, not a curated record.